RNAcentral lists this ribosomal RNA (502 nucleotides) under uncultured bacterium. RNAcentral describes it as "bacterial SSU rRNA". It matches the Rfam family "Bacterial small subunit ribosomal RNA", at positions 28 to 533 of the family's 1533-position model. The record is from RNAcentral.
GACGAACGCUGGCGGCGUGCCUAACACAUGCAAGUCGAGCGGGGUUGAAGCGAGGGGUAACUCGAGUUUCUACCUAGCGGCGGACGGGUGAGUAACGCGUGGGCAACCUGCCUCAAGGACUGGGAUAACAGCUCGAAAGGGCUGCUAAUACCGGAUAAGCCUAUGGCCUCGCAUGGGGCCAUGAGCAAAGGGGAAACCCGCCUUGAGAUGGGCCCGCGUCCCAUCAGCUAGUUGGUGAGGUGAAGGCUCACCAAGGCGACGACGGGUAGCCGGCCUGAGAGGGUGACCGGCCACACUGGGACUGAGACACGGCCCAGACUCCUACGGGGGCAGCAGUGGGGAAUCUUGCACAAUGGGCGAAAGCCUGAUGCAGCGACGCCGCGUGAGCGAAGAAGGCCUCGGGUUGUAAAGCUCUGUCUGGAGGGACGGAAGGAAGUGACGGUACCUCCGGAGGAAGCCACGGCUAACGUACGUAGCCAGCAGCCGCGGUAACUCGUCUCUA